This 242-nucleotide ribosomal RNA is filed under the name Symbiodinium sp. clade D. Its description in RNAcentral is "partial Bacterial small subunit ribosomal RNA". It matches the Rfam family "Bacterial small subunit ribosomal RNA", at positions 293 to 528 of the family's 1533-position model. The record is from RNAcentral. Lineage: Eukaryota; Dinophyceae; Suessiales; Symbiodiniaceae.
UGAGAGGAUGGUCGGCCACACUGGAACUGAGACACGGUCCAGACAUCUACGGAUGGCAGCAGUCGAGAAUCAUUCACAAUGGGGGAAACCCUGAUGGUGCGACGCCGCGUGGGGGAUGAAUGGCUUCGGCCCGUAAACCCCUGUCAUUAGUGAACAAACCUCUUGGAGUAAUAUUUCAAGAGCUGAUAGUAGCUAAAGAGGAAGGGACGGCUAACUCUGUGCCAGCAGCCGCGGUAAUACAG